UACGGGAGGCAGCAGUGGGGAAUAUUGCACAAUGGGCGCAAGCCUGAUGCAGCCAUGCCGCGUGUAUGAAGAAGGCCUUCGGGUUGUAAAGUACUUUCAGUCGUGAGGAAGGUGUUAAGGUUAAUAACCUUAGCAAUUGACGUUAGCGACAGAAGAAGCACCGGCUAACUCCGUGCCAGCAGCCGCGGUAAUACGGAGGGUGCGAGCGUUAAUCGGAAUUACUGGGCGUAAAGGGCACGCAGGCGGUUAAUUAAGUUGGAUGUGAAAUCCCCGGGCUUAACCUGGGAAUGGCAUUCAAGACUGGUUAGCUAGAGUCUUGUAGAGGGGGGUUAGAAUUCCAUGUGUAGCGGUGAAAUGCGUAGAGAUGUGGAGGAAUACCGGUGGCGAAGGCGGCCCCUGGGACAAAGGACUGACGCUCAUGUGCGAAAGCGUGGGGAGCAAACG
RNAcentral lists this ribosomal RNA (444 nucleotides) under uncultured bacterium. RNAcentral's name for it is "bacterial SSU rRNA". It matches the Rfam family "Bacterial small subunit ribosomal RNA", at positions 340 to 774 of the family's 1533-position model. The record is from RNAcentral.